This 459-nucleotide ribosomal RNA is filed under the name uncultured bacterium. RNAcentral describes it as "partial 16S ribosomal RNA". It matches the Rfam family "Bacterial small subunit ribosomal RNA", at positions 338 to 795 of the family's 1533-position model. The record is from RNAcentral.
CCUACGGGUGGCAGCAGUGAGGAAUAUUGGUCAAUGGCCGAGAGGCUGAACCAGCCAAGCCGCGUGAGGGAAGAAUGUCCUACGGAUCGUAAACCUCUUUUGUCAGGGAGCAAAGUCACCCACGUGUGGGCGUUGGAGAGUACCUGAAGAAAAAGCAUCGGCUAACUCCGUGCCAGCAGCCGCGGUAAUACGGAGGAUGCGAGCGUUAUCCGGAUUUAUUGGGUUUAAAGGGUGCGUAGGCGGGUUAUCAAGUCAGCGGUAAAAGCGUGGAGCUCAACUCCAUCCAGCCGUUGAAACUGAUGAUCUUGAGUGGGCGAGAAGUAUGCGGAAUGCGUGGUGUAGCGGUGAAAUGCGUAGAUAUCGCGCAGAACUCCGAUUGCGAAGGCAGCGUACCGGCGCCAGACUGACGCUGAGGCACGAAAGCGUGGGUAUCGAACAGGAUUAGAUACCCGGGUAGUC